This 253-nucleotide ribosomal RNA is filed under the name uncultured bacterium. RNAcentral describes it as "partial 16S ribosomal RNA". It matches the Rfam family "Bacterial small subunit ribosomal RNA", at positions 524 to 776 of the family's 1533-position model. The record is from RNAcentral.
UACAGAGGUCCCAAGCGUUGUUCGGAUUCAUUGGGCGUAAAGGGUGCGUAGGCGGCGCGGUAAGUCGGGUGUGAAAUCUCGGAGCUUAACUCCGAAACUGCAUUCGAUACUGCCGUGCUUGAGGACUGGAGAGGAGACUGGAAUUUACGGUGUAGCGGUGAAAUGCGUAGAUAUCGUAAGGAAGACCAGUGGCGAAGGCGGGUCUCUGGACAGUUCCUGACGCUGAGGCACAAAGGCCAGGGGAGCAAACGGG